This 73-nucleotide transfer RNA is filed under the name Pteropus alecto (black flying fox). It matches the Rfam family "tRNA". Rfam says of the family: Transfer RNA (tRNA) molecules are approximately 80 nucleotides in length. Lineage: Eukaryota; Metazoa; Chordata; Mammalia; Chiroptera; Pteropodidae. The record is from Rfam by way of RNAcentral.
GGUUCCAAAGAGUAGCGGUUAGCAUGUCUGCUUUACACGCAGAAGGUCCUGGGUUCGCGCCCCAGUGGAGCCA